RNAcentral lists this ribosomal RNA (790 nucleotides) under Multilocularia bambusae. RNAcentral's name for it is "SSU rRNA". It matches the Rfam family "Eukaryotic small subunit ribosomal RNA", at positions 310 to 1105 of the family's 1831-position model. Lineage: Eukaryota; Fungi; Ascomycota; Dothideomycetes; Pleosporales; Parabambusicolaceae. The record is from RNAcentral.
CCCUAUCAACUUUCGAUGGUAAGGUAUUGGCUUACCAUGGUUUCAACGGGUAACGGGGGAUUAGGGUUCGAUCCCGGAGAGCGAGCUUGAGAGACGGCUAGCACAUCCAAGGAAGGCAGCAGGCGCGCAAAUUACCCAAUGCCAACACGGCGAGGUAGUGACAAUAAAUACUGAUACAGGGCUCUUUUGGGUCUUGUAAUUGGAAUGAGUACAAUUUAAACCUCUUAACGAGGAACAAUUGGAGGGCAAGUCUGGUGCCAGCAGCCGCGGUAAUUCCAGCUCCAAUAGCGUAUAUUAAAGUUGUUGCAGUUAAAAAGCUCGUAGUUGAACCUUUGGCCUGGCUGGCGGGUCUGCCUCACCGCAUGCACUCGUCCGGCCGGGCCUUCUCUUCUGGAGAACCGCAUGCCCUUCAUUGGGUGUGUUGGGGACCAGGACUUUUACUUUGAAAAAAUUAGAGUGUUCAAAGCAGGCCUUUGCUCGAAUACGUUAGCAUGGAAUAAUAGAAUAGGACGUGCGGUCCUAUUUUGUUGGUUUCUAGGACCGCCGUAAUGAUUAAUAGGGACAGUCGGGGGCAUCAGUAUUCAAUUGUCAGAGGUGAAAUUCUUGGAUUUAUUGAAGACUAACUACUGCGAAAGCAUUUGCCAAGGAUGUUUUCAUUAAUCAGUGAACGAAAGUUAGGGGAUCGAAGACGAUCAGAUACCGUCGUAGUCUUAACCAUAAACUAUGCCGACUAGGGAUCGGGCGGUGUUUCUAAUAUGACCCGUUCGGCACCUUGCGAGAAAUCAAAGUG